CUCUCGCUCUCGCUCUGUCUCUGCAUCUCUUCGUUCUUCUCCCCUGUGGUUGCAGACUUGAAGCAGCAAAGGGUGGUUGCAGACUUGAAGCAGCAAAGGGUUCCACUUUGUGAACAACAGG
Cynara cardunculus var. scolymus (artichoke) is the source of this 121-nucleotide long non-coding RNA. RefSeq lists it as uncharacterized. NCBI's taxonomy places the organism in Eukaryota, Viridiplantae, Streptophyta, Magnoliopsida, Asterales, Asteraceae. The record is from RefSeq and is a predicted model, not a curated record. The transcript is spliced from 2 exons.